AUACCUUUCUCGGCCUUUUGGCUAAGAUCAAGUGUAGUAUCUGUUCUUAUCAGUUUAAUAUCUGAUAUAUGGGUCAUUGGCUCAUACGAUAUUAAAUCUAUUUUUAUAGGGAGAAAACCUACCAAGAUAGCUUGCUAUCUAGGUUUUCAAGAGUCGCCUUUGUCUUGCACUAUUGCAUAGGCAGGCUCGACCCAC
Small nuclear RNA from Raphanus sativus (radish), 195 nucleotides. RefSeq annotates it as U2 spliceosomal RNA. Lineage: Eukaryota; Viridiplantae; Streptophyta; Magnoliopsida; Brassicales; Brassicaceae. The transcript has a single exon. The record is from RefSeq and is a predicted model, not a curated record.